GAUGAACGCUGGCGGCGCGCCUAACACAUGCAAGUCGAACGAUUAAAGCACCUUCGGGUGUGUAUAAAGUGGCGAACGGCUGUGUCACACGUGGGAAACCUGCUCUUCUCAUUGGGAUAGCCACGGGACACCGUGGAUAAUACCGAAUACUUCGGGCCUUCCGCAUGGAAGACUCGAGAAAGCCACGGCGGAGAGGGAUGGGCCCGCGGCCUGUUAGCUUGUUGGCUGGGUAAUGGCCUACCAAGGCAAUGAUGGGUAGCUGGGUUGAGAGACCGACCAGCCAGAUUGGGACUGAGACGCGGCCCAGACCCCUACGGGAGGCAGCAGAGGGGAAGCGUGCACAGUGGGCGAGAGCCUAAUGCAGCGACGCCGCGUGCGGGAUGAAGAGCUUCAUGUUGGUAUCCGCUUUCAGCAGGGAAGAAGCGAAAAUGACGGUACCUGCAUAAGAAGCCCCGGCUAACUACGUG
Molecule: ribosomal RNA, 467 nt
Filed under: uncultured bacterium
Lineage: Bacteria
Description: partial 16S ribosomal RNA
Rfam family: Bacterial small subunit ribosomal RNA
Source: RNAcentral